CCCGAGACGGUCACCAGUGAAAUGACACCGUUGCUGUGGCAACCGCGCCCCCCCUCCUUCACUCCCCCCUUCCCCCAACUGCUUUGCCAGCCAUAUUCGCUGAAAAAAAGCGUGAGAGAUAGGAAACAGGCAAAACGAUGCAGAAGCGGGUUUUAUCGAGCAUUUAUUGAGCGCGCCAUGAAAGAGAAUUAAACCGCAUUGCUGAGUCCAGUGGACCUGUGUGUGUGUGUGAGAGCAGCACCGCUUCAUUCCGCCACUGCUCCUGUGUAACGCUACACACCAGGCUAUAUACAGCUGCGCUGCGUCGAGCUAACGCCACCUGAAGGAGUAUCUCUCUAACGCUCAGCGACAAAAACACUGUUAAAGCGCGUCAGCAGUUUUAGACCACGACUCAAAACUGCGUUAUUUUGCCUUCUUAAAUCCGCCGAGGAAACAAUGUGGAGCUUUUUUCCCUCGGAAUACCUUCGCAGUGCCAUAACUUCAUGUAAAAAACAGUUAAAGCUCUAGAGCUAAGUUUUAAAAUCGCCUGUCAGGGAUGUGUACAGGCGUCAUUUCAGCCUUCAUCAUUCAGCACGGACAUGGAGGCAGCUACGCUGGCUAGAUAAGAAGGAAACCGUGUUGUAAACAGGUAGAGCCAUCUGUGUGACCAGUAAUGGAUGAAGCUCACAUCACUGCAGAGAAAGCGCCUCUGCUCAGUUCUGCACUCGCAUUGCACUCAUGCAUCAUGCCUGUGGAGCUGCAUAUCUCACUGACUGUUGAAUGUGUCAUCUGUAUGUUAUGUGUCUGGAUAAAAUCUAUGAAAAACGCUUUCUGAACGCUUUCUCUUUAUACACACCUGAAUUGCCAGCGUUAAGUUGUUCCCUACAGUGUACAUUAAAGAAAGGUGAGGCCACAUUGUUAACGCUGUAGGUGUUUAUUCAACACUGGUUAUUUGACUGCGCGCUAAGGGAAAAGUUGUGGAUUUUGCUCUGCACCUUUGUGUCUUAAGGAAAUGUCUAUGUUAGGCCUGUCCAGUGCAAACGAAAAGAGAAAAACAUUUCCUGACCUGAACGUUCUCUGUCUGUCUGUCUGUCUGUCUGUCUGUCUGUCUCUCUCUCUUGCUCUCUCUCUCUCGCACUCUCACACACAUGCUCACACACAGACACACAAACACAGACUCAUGCUGUCCUACACAAUUUGCGCCACUGCCCUCUACUCCCACCAGAUGAAGAGUUAUCUCACAUCAAUGCCAGUCAAGUGUAGACAGCGUGAUUCACUCAACCCUUGCUUCUGCAAUGUCUUACAGUCAAUGUAUUUGAUCUCUUAUGCAACCCAAUCAGACAGAUCCUUAUCCAUAUAUUUCUAUGGAAAUGGCUCCACGAAUGCUUCUGAAAGCAUUUUGUACAAGUGAGCGCAUGGCGUGAAAUAAUUCUGCCAUUUGGCCGAUGAUUUGAAUGGUGAGAUACGGGACACUGAAUGCCAAGCAACCCAUUUGCAAAUGUCCCUGUGACUGCACUGGCAUCCUGCACUGGAACCUAAUGCCACUGCCAAAGUGUCAACAUAGAUGACAUCUGUUGGGGACUAACUAAAGAAAUCUUGCAUAUUAUGCAACUACCAAUAACAUCACAUCCGUGCAAAGCCAAAGAAAAACCAGUGGUGCUGUGCAAAAAAUGGGGAAGAGUGUGUCUUCCAAAAGGACAGACACCUCAGAGGGGAAACAAAGGUCUUCUUGUCCUCUCUGUCAUUCUCUUUCUCCGUCUUUCCCUCCACACAAGUAUGAACUGCUGCAGUGCUAUUCUGAGAGAGAGAGCUAGCUGCCUCAACCCACGCACUGAAUAUCAUAAAGAGAGAGAGAGAGAGAGAGAGAGAGAGAGAGAGCGGGAGAAAGUGAGGGAGAAAUUAAGGGUGGGAGCAAUGGAGAGAAAAAGGAGAGAAUGUCCAAAACAGAUGUGCUGUUUAGUAGAUUGGAAUAAAGAGAACGCCAACAUUUCACACCACUGCAGUGGAAUCUGAUGGUCUGAUCGUCACUCCUUGAUAAACUCGGCAGUCGCAGUGUUCUGGAAACUCUUUGUCAAUGCGCCACGUCUUCAGUGGCACAUCUCUCUCAAAUCGCCCACAGUCUCUUGCUGACGGGUACUGUGCAUAAGAAAGGCUAAUCCAGUUUACAGAGAAGGGUGAACUGUUCCACAUAGCUUCUAAGGUGUCGAAAUGGCCUACGCAUUUUAGCGCCAUUUCUCUAUGAUUUACUCUUCAUGAGAAAAAAACAGGAUUUCAGGAAUAUAAUUGACUAAGUUGUUUUUUGUUUGUUUGUUUGUUUGUUUUUUAAAAAAUUAUUACAUGGAUUACACACAUGACACAUGCCGACUUACAUACCAUAAACUAAAUACUGUAUAUGUUGUACAUUGUGCACCAAAUACUUAGCUGUGAACAGUUUAUGCCUUGAAU
Molecule: long non-coding RNA, 2424 nt
Organism: Ictalurus punctatus (channel catfish)
Lineage: Eukaryota; Metazoa; Chordata; Actinopteri; Siluriformes; Ictaluridae
Source: Ensembl